Molecule: ribosomal RNA, 468 nt
Filed under: uncultured bacterium
Lineage: Bacteria
Description: partial 16S ribosomal RNA
Rfam family: Bacterial small subunit ribosomal RNA
Source: RNAcentral
GACGAACGCUGGCGGCGUGCUUAACACAUGCAAGUCGAACGGAAAGGCCCUGCUUUUGUGGGGUGCUCGAGUGGCGAACGGGUGAGUAACACGUGAGUAACCUGCCCUUGACUUUGGGAUAACUUCAGGAAACUGGGGCUAAUACCGGAUAGGAGCUCCUGCUGCAUGGUGGGGGUUGGAAAGUUUCGGCGGUUGGGGAUGGACUCGCGGCUUAUCAGCUUGUUGGUGGGGUAGUGGCUUACCAAGGCUUUGACGGGUAGCCGGCCUGAGAGGGUGACCGGCCACAUUGGGACUGAGAUACGGCGCAGACUCCUACGGGCGGCAGCAGUGGGGAAUAUUGCACAAUGGGCGGAAGCCUGAUGCAGCAACGCCACGUGCGGGAUGACGGCCUUCGGGUUGUAAACCGCUUUCGCCUGUGACGAAGCGUGAGUGACGGUAAUGGGUAAAGAAGCACCGGCUAACUACGUG